CGACGGUGGAGAAAUGUGUGCCAUGUGACUCAAAAGAUCCUCAACCAAUGUCUGAAGAAAUAGCUAAUAAACUAAUUGCACAGGAUGGAAUUUGUCUCGUGAAGAUGCUACGUUGAGGCUACACCGAUGAUGGGAAGUGAAGAAUUGGCUGAAGGGAUUGGAGACUUUUCAACUUUUAACUGAUAUUGCAGAGGCAGAAGGUUUCAUUAACAUCCUGAAAUCUCUCGUAUGGUCUAACCAUCAUCCAUUCUUCUAUGACCUAUGCCUUCUUUUAGGGGAUGGAAGUCUCAAUGCUAUGAUGUAGUGGGAAUGCUGCUCCUGAUUUCCUCUGCUUUAAACUAGUCCAGGCACUCGAGAUAAGUUCGAACUAUACUAGGUAUGCAGCACCAAGGUCAGUGCAAACUUAUAUGUAACAUGCGUGUAGCACCAAGACAUUCUAUGGUGAUUAAUUUGAUUUUCUGAGGAAUAAUAAAUCAAAUCUAUCCUAGGAAUUGCUUGCUUAUAGAGUAUAUUGAAGUAUGAAUUUCUUCCUGACAUAGCUGCCUUGCAUAUCUUGCAUUCAUUAGUAUUGUCCUCGCAUUCUUUGGUGCAGGAUGAUUGAUCAGAAAAUGAUGUCAUACUUGCUACCAAGAUCAAUGGUCUUAAUAUAGGACAUCUCUUGAGAAGAAAAAGCUAUUACCUAGUUCAGGAAGCGGUGUAAAAUUUUUAAAACUUGUUACGACUGCUUGUAUGUGUUGGCAUUGGUUUUGGAAACAACUUCUUACAUUGCAAAACGAAUGUGAACCGAUCAAUAGUUCCUGGAUGUAAGAUCAUAUGAUUUACUAGUGAUGUCAAACAUUACGUUCAUCUUUGGUUUAACAAAGUGAAUAUAUGGGUAAAAUUUCCCAAGUGUCACCUAGUGUAUUUGAAAAACAGAAUUAUGACGCUAGUUGAGAAGCAAUUUUGAUGAAUGGGUAUUUGCUUGUAUGAUGUUGAAAUUUCAUAAUUUGGUUGAUUCCGCUAUUCUCUGACUAGAUAGGUGUAGGCUAGGGUCAUGUAAUACCCGCCCCAUUUGGGCCUUGGACCAAGCCCAAAGGCCA
Elaeis guineensis (African oil palm) is the source of this 1079-nucleotide non-coding RNA. Lineage: Eukaryota; Viridiplantae; Streptophyta; Magnoliopsida; Arecales; Arecaceae. The record is from RefSeq and is a predicted model, not a curated record.